This 640-nucleotide ribosomal RNA is filed under the name uncultured Chloroflexota bacterium. RNAcentral's name for it is "bacterial SSU rRNA". It matches the Rfam family "Bacterial small subunit ribosomal RNA", at positions 336 to 995 of the family's 1533-position model. Lineage: Bacteria; Bacillati; Chloroflexota. The record is from RNAcentral.
UUCCUACGGGAGGCAGCAGUGGGGAAUCUUGCGCAAUGGCCGAAAGGCUGACGCAGCGACGCCGCGUGGGUGAAGAAGGUCUUCGGAUCGUAAAGCCCUUUUCUCCCUGACGAGAGAGGACGGUAGGGGAGGAAGAAGUGUCGGCUAACUACGUGCCAGCAGCCGCGGUAAAACGUAGGACGCAAGCGUUAUCCGGAAUUACUGGGCGUAAAGCGCGUGUAGGCGGAUGUCUAAGUCACUGUUGAAAGCUCCAGGCUAAACCUGGAGAGGUGCGGUGAGACUGGGGAUCUGGAGAGUGUCAGAGGGAUGCAGAAUUCCGGGUGUAGUGGUGAAAUGCGUAGAGAUCCGGAGGAAUACCAGAGGCGAAGGCGGCAUCCUGGGACAUAUCUGACGCUGAGACGCGAAAGCAUGGGGAGCGAACGGGAUUAGAGACCCCGGUAGUCCAUGCCGUAAACGAUGCAAACUAGAUGUGGGCUUCUUACGGGAGGUCUGUGUCGGAGCUAACGCGAUAAGUUUGUCGCCUGGGGAGUACGCACGCAAGUGUGAAACUCAAAGGAAUUGACGGGGGCCCCACAAGCAGCGGAGCGUGUGGUUUAAUUCGAGGCACWUCRUACCUUACCUGGGUUUGACAUCCCACGAA